AGAUUGAACGCUGGCGGCAGGCCUAACACAUGCAAGUCGAGCGGUAGAGAGGUGCUUGCACCUCUUGAGAGCGGCGGACGGGUGAGUAAUGCCUAGGAAUCUGCCUAGUGGUGGGGGAUAACGUUCGGAAACGGACGCUAAUACCGCAUACGUCCUACGGGAGAAAGCGGGGACCUUCGGGCCUCGCGCCAUUAGAUGAGCCUAGGUCGGAUUAGCUAGUUGGUGAGGUAAUGGCUCACCAAGGCGACGAUCCGUAACUGGUCUGAGAGGAUGAUCAGUCACACUGGAACUGAGACACGGUCCAGACUCCUACGGGAGCAGCGAGU
Molecule: ribosomal RNA, 326 nt
Filed under: uncultured soil bacterium
Lineage: Bacteria
Description: bacterial SSU rRNA
Rfam family: Bacterial small subunit ribosomal RNA
Source: RNAcentral